This 681-nucleotide ribosomal RNA is filed under the name Vibrio parahaemolyticus. RNAcentral's name for it is "partial 23S ribosomal RNA". It matches the Rfam family "Bacterial large subunit ribosomal RNA", at positions 2249 to 2925 of the family's 2925-position model. The record is from RNAcentral. Lineage: Bacteria; Pseudomonadati; Pseudomonadota; Gammaproteobacteria; Vibrionales; Vibrionaceae.
GGACAGUGCCUGGUGGGUAGUUUGACUGGGGCGGUCUCCUCCCAAAGAGUAACGGAGGAGCACGAAGGUGGGCUAAUCACGGUUGGACAUCGUGAGGUUAGUGCAAUGGCAUAAGCCCGCUUGACUGCGAGAAUGACAAUUCGAGCAGGUGCGAAAGCAGGUCAUAGUGAUCCGGUGGUUCUGAAUGGAAGGGCCAUCGCUCAACGGAUAAAAGGUACUCCGGGGAUAACAGGCUGAUACCGCCCAAGAGUUCAUAUCGACGGCGGUGUUUGGCACCUCGAUGUCGGCUCAUCACAUCCUGGGGCUGAAGUCGGUCCCAAGGGUAUGGCUGUUCGCCAUUUAAAGUGGUACGCGAGCUGGGUUUAGAACGUCGUGAGACAGUUCGGUCCCUAUCUGCCGUGGGCGUUGGAAGAUUGAAGGGGGCUGCUCCUAGUACGAGAGGACCGGAGUGGACGAACCUCUGGUGUUCGGGUUGUGUCGCCAGACGCAUUGCCCGGUAGCUAAGUUCGGAAUCGAUAACCGCUGAAAGCAUCUAAGCGGGAAGCGAGCCCUGAGAUGAGUCUUCCCUGAUACUUUAAGUAUCCUAAAGGGUUGUCGGAGACUACGACGUUGAUAGGUCAGGUGUGUAAGUGCUGUGAGGCAUUGAGCUAACUGAUACUAAUUGCCCGUGAGGCUUAACCA